This 1126-nucleotide long non-coding RNA is filed under the name Dasypus novemcinctus (nine-banded armadillo). Its description in RNAcentral is "lncRNA (ENSDNOG00000051556.1)". Lineage: Eukaryota; Metazoa; Chordata; Mammalia; Cingulata; Dasypodidae. The record is from RNAcentral.
CCAUCCUGGGAGGCUGCAGGUGUGCGCAGGGUAGGGGCGCAGAGAGGGUGCAGGAGGGUGUCGGAGAUCAAGGGACCUGGGCGGCCCAUGGCCUUCACCCUGGGGCCGGGAAGCUCUGGUAGGAAAGGCCCAGCCCCUUCCUGGGGGGAACGCAAUUCCGCGGGUUUUUUGCAAACCGCCGAGGGCGCCCGGUUGUCCCCUGCGCAGAAAGCAAUGCAGACCCAGGUCAAGGGGCGGGGUCGGGCAUUGGGGGCGGGCUUGGAGCGCAGGCGCAGCCCACAUUUUUAGCGCGCACGACCCGAUGCUGCCUUGCUGUGAGCAGUGGCGCCGCCCUGGAUCCCCCACUUUCCGGGAUCGAGCCCGCGGAGUCUCCUGGAGCACGCCUCCCGCCCCGGGCGAGUGGGAAUGGCGGCGGGAAGGGCCUCGCCCAGAGCAGACCCCAGCCUGAGAUGCAAUGCAGAGCUUCCUGGUGCUGCUGAAGGGGAGCAGGGAUGCCUGCCCACUGGCCAUGGACCUGGUGGCCCUUGUGGCAAGGCUGUGCCAGAACCUGCAGGUUGACCUUGCCCAGGCACCCAUCACCCUCCCUACUCUGCCUAGAGGGUCUAAAGAGUUAGAACUGCCCCAAGGAGGUUCACCAGAAGCUACAGGAUUUUCACCUGGAGUGUGGGCAACAGCUCCAGCAAGGCCCAAAAGUCUAGGGUGCGCGUGGGAGUCGGGGGUGCUAAAGUCGCCUGAACCCAGCGGGAAGGAAGAUCCGGAGCAGCAUCCAGGAUCCGGAGCUGGAGCCCCCAGGAGAGGAGUCGAGACUCGAACCCCCAGCUCGGUGCCCACGUCUGCGCCAAACGGCUCUUGAGCAAUCCGGCAGGGAAAGGAAAGAGAAGAACACUUGGUAGCAGAUGGUUGGAUGAGCAGGUGACAGCCCUUGGAUGCUCCCAGACCCUGGCUCAGCUGUUCUUCUAGAGACGAGGGUCAACUUGGUCUGACACUGUCUUGUCCUGGGCAUGAGCAGCUGGCAUUGGAGAUGACAUUGAUGGUUGAACAGGUAUGCAACUGACUUGACAACUUCCAGUGAUGCCAAAGUUCCCACCUGGAGCAAGCCCUGCCAAGGCCAUCUGGUGAACACCAC